ACAGAGAGAGCGGCGUACGGGUGCGUAACACGUGUGCAACCUGCCUUUAUCAGGAGGAUAGCCUUUCGAAAAGGGAAGAUUAAUACUCCAUAAUAUAUUAAUUGGCAUCAAAUUGAUAUUGAAACUCCGGUGGAUAAAGAUGGGCACGCGCAAGAUUAGAUAGUUGGUGAGGUAACGGCUCACCAAGUCGAUGAUCUUUAGGGGGCCUGAGAGGGUGAUCCCCCACACUGGUACUGAGACACGGACCAGACUCCUACGGGAGGCAGCAGUGAGGAAUAUUGGACAAUGGGUUAGCGCCUGAUCCAGCCAUCCCGCGUGAAGGAUUAAGGACCUAUGGUUUGUAAACUUCUUUUGUACAGGGAUAAACCUACCCUCGUGAGGGUAGCUGAAGGUACUGUACGAAUAAGCACCGGCUAACUCCGUG
RNAcentral lists this ribosomal RNA (424 nucleotides) under uncultured bacterium. RNAcentral describes it as "bacterial SSU rRNA". It matches the Rfam family "Bacterial small subunit ribosomal RNA", at positions 86 to 507 of the family's 1533-position model. The record is from RNAcentral.